Molecule: transfer RNA, 67 nt
Filed under: Gyrodactylus sp. FY-2015
Lineage: Eukaryota; Metazoa; Platyhelminthes; Monogenea; Gyrodactylidea; Gyrodactylidae
Description: tRNA-Leu
Source: RNAcentral
UUAAAGAUGUUAGAAGAUAUAAUAAGUUUGUUUUAGGAACAAAAAAUGGGUAUAAUCCCUCUUUAAG